This 423-nucleotide ribosomal RNA is filed under the name Verrucomicrobiota bacterium. Its description in RNAcentral is "Verrucomicrobia bacterium partial 16S ribosomal RNA". It matches the Rfam family "Bacterial small subunit ribosomal RNA", at positions 355 to 776 of the family's 1533-position model. Lineage: Bacteria; Pseudomonadati; Verrucomicrobiota. The record is from RNAcentral.
UGAGGAAUAUUGGUCAAUGGACGCAAGUCUGAACCAGCCAAGUAGCGUGCAGGAUGACGGCCCUAUGGGUUGUAAACUGCUUUUAUAUGGGGAUAAAGUGGGGAACGUGUUCCCUUUUGCAGGUACCAUAGGAAUAAGGACCGGCUAAUUACGUGCCAGCAGCCGCGGUAAUACGUAAGGUCCGAGCGUUGUCCGGAAUCAUUGGGCGUAAAGGGUACGUAGGCGGGUAAGCAAGUUAGAAGUGAAAUCCUGUAGCUCAACUACAGUAAGCUUUUAAAACUGCUCAUCUUGAGAUAUGGAAGGGAAAGUGGAAUUCCUAGUGUAGCGGUGAAAUGCGCAGAUAUUAGGAGGAAUACCGGUGGCGAAGGCGACUUUCUGGCCAUAAUCUGACGCUGAGGUACGAAAGCGUGGGUAGCAAACAGG